RNAcentral lists this ribosomal RNA (511 nucleotides) under uncultured bacterium. Its description in RNAcentral is "partial 16S ribosomal RNA". It matches the Rfam family "Bacterial small subunit ribosomal RNA", at positions 28 to 507 of the family's 1533-position model. The record is from RNAcentral.
GAUGAACGCUGGCGGCGUGCCUAAUACAUGCAAGUCGAACGAAACUUCUUUAUCACCGAGUGCUUGCACUCACCGAUAAAGAGUUGAGUGGCGAACGGGUGAGUAACACGUGGGCAACCUGCCCAAAAGAGGGGGAUAACACUUGGAAACAGGUGCUAAUACCGCAUAACCAUAGUUACCGCAUGGUAACUAUGUAAAAGGUGGCUAUACUACCGCUUUUGGAUGGGCCCGCGGCGCAUUAGCUAGUUGGUAGGGUAAAGGCUUACCAAGGCAAUGAUGCGUAGCCGAAUUGAGAGGUUGAUCGGCCACAUUGGGACUGAGACACGGCCCAAACUCCUACGGGAGGCAGCAGUAGGAAUCUUCCACAAUGGGCGAAAGCCUGAUGGAGCAACGCCGCGUGGGUGAAGAAGGUCUUCGGAUCGUAAAACCCUGUUGUUAGAGAAGAAAGUGCGUGAGAGUAACUGUUCACGUUUCGACGGUAUCUAACCAGAAAGCCACGGCUAACUACGUG